GAAUUGCUAAUCAAUCCUCCUACAACACUUGCACUGGGUUAAAUGUCAAUCGUAUUGAUCAUUUAACCCUAGAACGAUUCUUAAUCAUUGAUCAACCAUCCGAUCGGAUCAUGAACUCUAAUGUGUGUGACCUCAUAGGUCUGAACCUAAGCCGGUAGCAUAGAAAUAAAUUUCUGUACCAAUCGAAGUGACCAUCUAGCAAUGGUACCCGACGAUCGGAUAGGUCGGAUGUGUAGAACAACAUCCUUAGAACCCAUGUGGAUAUAGUUUUCAUAUAAUUCAUCCCCUUGACCAAAAUGAUCAUAGGACACCCCAGAGUUCAACUGUCAACUCUGAUCAGGUUGUCCACAUUGUAUUUCAAAAUAUCAAAUCCAUCUGAUGGAUUACCCUGGCCAAGGUUUUGCUAAAUUGAAAUACAGUGACUCAUUCUUCUCCAACUCUUGGAAUGGUCAAUCCCAUCU
This 461-nucleotide long non-coding RNA is filed under the name Elaeis guineensis (African oil palm). RNAcentral describes it as "long non-coding RNA (EGUI_LNC080220)". The record is from RNAcentral. Lineage: Eukaryota; Viridiplantae; Streptophyta; Magnoliopsida; Arecales; Arecaceae.